GAGAUGUUAGUAAAACAAUUACAUAGCCUUGUCAAGACUAAG
RNAcentral lists this transfer RNA (42 nucleotides) under Mohoua novaeseelandiae. RNAcentral's name for it is "partial tRNA-Asp". Lineage: Eukaryota; Metazoa; Chordata; Aves; Passeriformes; Acanthizidae. The record is from RNAcentral.